Molecule: long non-coding RNA, 1559 nt
Organism: Betta splendens (Siamese fighting fish)
Lineage: Eukaryota; Metazoa; Chordata; Actinopteri; Anabantiformes; Osphronemidae
Source: Ensembl
AUGUCCUCCUGGCGGACGCUGAUCCAGGGGGUUGAGGAGUUGAGGCGGACGGCGCCACAGGAGGCAGCGCCAUCCAAGCAGCAGGAUGCGCCGAGGGCGAGGCCACCAGUCCGGCAGCAGAGACAGAGACGAGGCAGGAACCAGAGACAAAGACAGACGUGGAGACGCGGCCGGAGCCGAGCCGCCAGGAACCGAUGCAGGUGCGGCCGGAGCCGAGCAGACGGGCGCGACCCCCUCCUGGAGGUCGGCCGGGACUGCCACUCCGAGACUGACAGGAACGGCCGUAACUUGGCCGACAGGGACUGGAACGACCUCUACUUGGCCGACAGGGAGACUGAACGGCGCGCGGCUGAGCUGGAGACUGAACGGCGCGCGGCUGAGCUGGAGACUGAACGGCGCGCGGCUGAGCUGGAGACUGAACGGCGCGCGGCUGAGCUGGAGACUGAACGGCGCGCGGCUGAGCUGGAGACUGAACGGCGCGCGGCUGAGCUGGAGACUGAACGGCGCGCGGCUGAGCUGGAGACUGAACGGAACACGGCUGAGCUGGAGACUGAACGGAACACGGCUGAGCUGGAGACCACGGAGACAGGGGACCGCACGAGUGCAGGAAGUCCUCCCAGCGGAGUAAACGUGGAGCUGGGCGUGGCCCGAGCGGACGGCGUGGAGGCGGGUGUGGUGCGGAGUGCGCUGCUUAACUCCCCAAGCCGCGCGCACAAUUGCUCGUAGAGGUGACGGACACUGGAGCGUUCUAGCACGCCGUCCUCGUCCUCUAGGGUCCACACCGCCACUUCCACGGCGCUGCGCUGGGCUUCCGGGUUGGGCGCCCUUCGGUAAUCCUCCACGAGGAUCGAAAAAUACUGGCGUAGAUCGCUGGGUAGCUCGGCGCAUGAAAACUCCAUUCUCCCCGCGGGUGAAUGGGACUCGUCGCCAAAAAACAAAAAACAAAACAAGAAACAAAAACAGUCACUGACCUAGACGGAGGCUGGAUGCUGGCUGGGUCCAAGUCUGGCCAGAUCGUUCUGUCAGGGACGCUCGGAUGAGGACCCAAAUGCACAGCGUAACACAGGUUGACGGUGAUCAAAGGGUGGUUUAUUCCAGGUUAGGCAGAGACAGCGUCAGGGACAGGCAAGGUUCAUACACGAGAGGGGGUUACAAUACCAGAAUCGUCGAGCGUCAGAUCGUGGUCAGGCAGGCAAGGUCGGCAACAGGCAGAACAGAAAAGUAGGGCAGACAAGACAGGCAGGGAUCAGGCAGGCUCAAAAUCAGCAGUCAAGACAGGGUUCACGAAACACGGUAGGGCAGGAUCAACAAACCGGAUUAUGACAGGAAACACACAAACAACGAUCUGGCGGGGAACUAAGGACACAGGUGGUGGUUAAAUACAAAGUGAACUAAUAGCAGAUGAAGUGCAGGUGUGGAUAAUGCGGACCGGUACUGACAGGGAACAGCUGUGAUGUGACGUAGCAGGAAGUCCUUUCAACAUAAAGGCGGAUCUAAAACCGGGACGUGACAACUGAACAGGAAGUAUUACAAAAUAAAACAGGAAACAACAAAAAACA